RNAcentral lists this ribosomal RNA (278 nucleotides) under uncultured Peptoniphilus sp. Its description in RNAcentral is "partial 16S ribosomal RNA". It matches the Rfam family "Bacterial small subunit ribosomal RNA", at positions 82 to 354 of the family's 1533-position model. Lineage: Bacteria; Bacillati; Bacillota; Tissierellia; Tissierellales; Peptoniphilaceae. The record is from RNAcentral.
AUAAGACGGAUUAGCGGCGGACGGGUGAGUAACACGUGAGUAACCUGCCUUUUACACAGGGAUAGCCUCGGGAAACCGGGAUUAAAACCUGAUGAAACUAUCAAAAUCACAUGAUUAAGAAAGUUAAAACUCCGGUGGUAAAAAGAUGGACUCGCGUCCCAUUAGCUAGUUGGUGAAGGUAACGGCCCACCAAGGCAACGAUGGGUAGCCGGCCUGAGAGGGUGAACGGCCACAUUGGAACUGAGACACGGCCCAGACUCCUACGGGAGGCAGCAGAU